GUCGAGCGGCGGACGGGUGAGUAAUGCCUAGGAAAUUGCCCUGAUGUGGGGGAUAACCAUUGGAAACGAUGGCUAAUACCGCAUAAUGCCUACGGGCCAAAGAGGGGGACCUUCGGGCCUCUCGCGUCAGGAUAUGCCUAGGUGGGAUUAGCUAGUUGGUGAGGUAAUGGCUCACCAAGGCGACGAUCCCUAGCUGGUCUGAGAGGAUGAUCAGCCACACUGGAACUGAGACACGGUCCAGACUCCUACGGGAGGCAGCAGUGGGGAAUAUUGCACAAUGGGCGCAAGCCUGAUGCAGCCAUGCCGCGUGUGUGAAGAAGGCCUUCGGGUUGUAAAGCACUUUCAGUCGUGAGGAAGGUGGUGUAGUUAAUAGCUGCAUUANUUGACGUUAGCGACAGAAGAAGCACCGGCUAACUCCGUGCCAGCAGCCGCGGUAAUACGGAGGGUGCGAGCGUUAAUCGGAAUUACUGGGCGUAAAGCGCAUGCAGGUGGUUUGUUAAGUCAGAUGUGAAAGCCCGGGGCUCAACCUCGGAAUAGCAUUUGAAACUGGCAGACUAGAGUACUGUAGAGGGGGGUAGAAUUUCAGGUGUAGCGGUGAAAUGCGUAGAGAUCUGAAGGAAUACCGGUGGCGAAGGCGGCCCCCUGGACAGAUACUGACACUCAGAUGCGAAAGCGUGGGGAGCAAACAGGAUUAGAUACCCUGGUAGUCCACGCCGUAAACGAUGUCUACUUGGAGGUUGUGGCCUUGAGCCGUGGCUUUCGGAGCUAACGCGUUAAGUAGACCGCCUGGGGAGUACGGUCGCAAGAUUAAAACUCAAAUGAAUUGACGGGGGCCCGCACAAGCGGUGGAGCAUGUGGUUUAAUUCGAUGCAACGCGAAGAACCUUACCUACUCUUGACAUCCAGAGAACUUUCCAGAGAUGGAUUGGUGCCUUCGGGAACUCUGAGACAGGUGCUGCAUGGCUGUCGUCAGCUCGUGUUGUGAAAUGUUGGGUUAAGUCCCGCAACGAGCGCAACCCUUAUCCUUGUUUGCCAGCGAGUAAUGUCGGGAACUCCAGGGAGACUGCCGGUGAUAAACCGGAGGAAGGUGGGGACGACGUCAAGUCAUCAUGGCCCUUACGAGUAGGGCUACACACGUGCUACAAUGGCGCAUACAGAGGGCAGCAAGCUAGCGAUAGUGAGCGAAUCCCAAAAAGUGCGUCGUAGUCCGGAUUGGAGUCUGCAACUCGACUCCAUGAAGUCGGAAUCGCUAGUAAUCGUGGAUCAGAAUGCCACGGUGAAUACGUUCCCGGGCCUUGUACACACCGCCCGUCACACCAUGGGAGUGGGCUGCAAAAGAAGUAGGUAG
RNAcentral lists this ribosomal RNA (1347 nucleotides) under Vibrio sp. 1tc12. RNAcentral's name for it is "16S ribosomal RNA". It matches the Rfam family "Bacterial small subunit ribosomal RNA", at positions 90 to 1433 of the family's 1533-position model. Lineage: Bacteria; Pseudomonadati; Pseudomonadota; Gammaproteobacteria; Vibrionales; Vibrionaceae. The record is from RNAcentral.